GUGCCAGCCGCCGCGGUAAGACGAACCGUGCGAACGUUGUUCGGAAUCACUGGGCUUAAAGGGCGCGUAGGCGGGCUGCCAAGUCUGGGGUGAAAUCCCACGGCUCAACCGUGGAACGGCCUCGGAUACUGGCGGCCUCGAGGGAGGUAGGGGCAUGCGGAACUAUGGGUGGAGCGGUGAAAUGCGUUGAUAUCCAUAGGAACUCCGGUGGCGAAGGCGGCGUGCUGGACCUCUUCUGACGCUGAGGCGCGAAAGCCAGGGGAGCGAACGGGAUUAGAAACCCUCGUAGUCC
Molecule: ribosomal RNA, 292 nt
Filed under: uncultured bacterium
Lineage: Bacteria
Description: partial 16S ribosomal RNA
Rfam family: Bacterial small subunit ribosomal RNA
Source: RNAcentral